UGGCGGACGGGUGAGUAAUGCGUCGGAACGUACCGAGUAAUGGGGGAUAACGCAGCGAAAGCUGUGCUAAUACCGCAUACGCCCUGAGGGGGAAAGUGGGGGAUCGCAAGACCUCACGUUAUUCGAGCGGCCGACGUCUGAUUAGCUAGUUGGUGGGGUAAUGGCCUACCAAGGCGACGAUCAGUAGCGGGUCUGAGAGGAUGAUCCGCCACACUGGAACUGAGACACGGUCCAGACUCCUACGGGAGGCAGCAGUGGGGAAUUUUGGACAAUGGGGGCAACCCUGAUCCAGCCAUUCCGCGUGAGUGAAGAAGGCCUUCGGGUUGUAAAGCUCUUUCAGCUGGAACGAAACGGUGCGCUCUAACAUAGCGUGCUAAUGACGGUACCAGCAGAAGAAGCACCGGCUAACUACGUGCCAGCAGCCGCGGUAAU
Molecule: ribosomal RNA, 432 nt
Filed under: uncultured bacterium
Lineage: Bacteria
Description: bacterial SSU rRNA
Rfam family: Bacterial small subunit ribosomal RNA
Source: RNAcentral